This is an RNA transcript of Brassica napus (rape), 2071 nucleotides long. RefSeq lists it as uncharacterized. NCBI's taxonomy places the organism in Eukaryota, Viridiplantae, Streptophyta, Magnoliopsida, Brassicales, Brassicaceae. The record is from RefSeq and is a predicted model, not a curated record. The transcript has 2 exons.
CAUGUAUUCUCAAAGUUGAGAUGACAAAAUCAAUCUCUUUAUCAAACAUUCAAAUAUGAUACGUGAGAAGCAUUAUCAAUUCCAUAUAAUCUCUUUUAUCAAACAUGCAUAUAUAUAACUAUUAACACAGAUUUUAAAAGUCAAGAGGAAUUUAAUUUUGUAAAUAUUUUCAUUGAUUCUGACAAUAUGUCUUCCCAUAUUUAUAGAAUCCAUAUAUUCUUUUGGUUUGAUUGGCGAUGACUUAUUGUGAUUUAUGUUAACUUUUGUCUACUAUUAUUUAUCUAUUUUCCAUAUAAUAUAUUCAAAAUAAGUGUUCAAUUGUGUUUAAAAAAAAGGAGCGUCCUAGAAUUGUUCUUUGCUUUUUAUUCAUCAUCAAAGCUCGCAACGUAAUACAAGUCUCUGGUUCUCUCUUUUCUUGUCUUUUUUUUAUGAUAUAUUUCUCUGUUUUUCAUUAUAUCAUGUAUUAAAAUGGUUUGAUUAUUAUAUCUGUUGCUUUCAAGUUUACGUUUGGUUUCAUUAUUUUAUUUGUUUAGACUAGUAGCAAGAAGUUUGAUGUUUACCUGUUUGUUUGUGAUAAAUAUUUUUGUGUGUAUGUUCUUACUAAUAUUGAUUAACUUCACAUAAGAUUGCAAUGGGUGAUAAAGAAAAAAAUCAGUAUACCCUAUGGAAUUCAGAGGAAACCAAGGUUUUAAUAGAGUUGCUUGUGGAGGGAAUUCAACGUGCAUGGCGUGACAGUAAUGGAAUAAUGAACAAAGCAACGGUGGAACAUAAGAUACUACCAGUCUUGAACGAAAGACUUGGAUGCCAAAAAACCCACAAGCAUUACCUAAGCAGGAUCAAGUUUCUAAAGGGUCAAUAUCAAUGCUAUGUUGAUCUUUUAAACAACAGUUCAGGGUUUGGAUGGGAUCCUAUCAUGAAAAGAUUUGUGGCUUCUAACGAAGUAUGGAAUGACUAUUUAAAGGGACAUCCAAAUCACAAGUUCUUACGCUAUGACUCUAGUGAACAGUUUGAUGAUUUGAAAAUCAUAUUUGAUUGUGAAACUGCUAAUGGUAGUUCUGCAAUUGGCUUGGGUGAUACCACAGAUGCUCGCGUCUUAACGGUUGGUGACAGUCAAGUACAAGACAACUUGAAUUUUGAGGACAUCAACGAUGAUGUUUAUGCUCAGCAACCAUCCCCAGAAAAUGGUGUCAAAAGGCGUGUGGAAAAACUUGUCUCGAGAAAACGAUCUCGAUCAGACGCAUCUAGCAGUGCAGUUGAGAUAAACAGUGAUCAAAGUGAUGCUAUGGUAAUGAUGACCAGCAAGAUCCUUACUUCCAUAACACAGAGAGAAGAAAGACAACAAAAAGAAGCUGAGAAAAGAGAAGCUGAAAAGAAGAAAAAUAGUGUAUGCUAUUAAAGAGGUUCCUGAUUUGGAUGAUCGUAUCAAAUUUAAAGCUGUGACCCUUAUCUAUUCCUUGGGAAUGAAAGAUGUCUUCACUGAUAUGUCCAUAGAAGAACGCUAUGGUUGGAUCCAAAGAAAUGUCAACUAAGAUUGAUCUUUGUUUUAUUAUAUCUGUUUUAGACUGUUUUGUUAUUUCUUUACAAUCAUUCUAGACUGUUUUUUUUUUAAUACCAAACUGGUUUUAGUUUAAUAUACAUGAUGGGGCUUUUAAAUAUUUUUUUUGCUUAGCAAAACAAAAUUUCAUGCUGUUGUUAUACCACGUAGCUUAUUUUAUUGUUAGCAUCUGGUAAAUGAUCUAUGUAACUUUAUUGUUAGUGUCUUGGUUAGUCUAUUAGUUUUUAAAGAUUCUUCGUGUAUUUCAGUUAUUAAUAUAAAUAGUAAUCUCUUUUUGUAGGUGUUUUAUCAUGGAGAGCACCUUUGAAGAAGAACAACAAAUGUAUGACGAAAUGCAAGCAAACCAAAUGGAAGAAGACGAGUCAGAUUUAGAUAUUUUGCUGGUGAUGUUAAAUAACAUAGCAACAACGUAUGUGAGGAUUGACAAUCGCAAACAACGUAUGUGAGGAGUGAAAAUCGCAUACAACGCCCUAUUCGUCGGCCAAUCACUAACAUUGGUUAUGAUUACAUUCAAAA